UACGGAGGGGGCUAGCGUUGUUCGGAAUUACUGGGCGUAAAGCGCGCGUAGGCGGACCUGCAAGUCGGGGGGUGAAAGCCCGAGGCUCAACCUCGGAACUGCCUUCGAUACUGCGGGUCUCGAGUCCGGGAGAGGUGAGUGGAAUUCCUAGUGUAGAGGUGAAAUUCGUAGAUAUUCGGAAGAACACCAGUGGCGAAGGCGGCUCACUGGCCCGGUACUGACGCUGAGGCGCGAAGGCGUGGGGAGCGAACGGGG
This 255-nucleotide ribosomal RNA is filed under the name uncultured bacterium. RNAcentral describes it as "partial 16S ribosomal RNA". It matches the Rfam family "Bacterial small subunit ribosomal RNA", at positions 524 to 777 of the family's 1533-position model. The record is from RNAcentral.